GUACUGGGACGAUUCCGCGGAGCCGGGCAGAGGUUUUAGGGGUGCGCAGGAGUCAAGUGGUGGUUCAGUGGGGACGGAAUGAUUAACAAAGGCGUCCGAAGAAAUCGUUGUUGGAAGGUGACCAAGGUGGAAAGAGACGUUGCUUUGGCCCUGCAAAGUCUGUCACACUAAGAUGAGAAAUGUCCUUUCUUCCUGAAGGUGUCUGAUGUGUAAAAAUAUGAUAUACUUUGUGCUGUUUCCUCCCUUCCCUUUUGCAUAUUAUUCUGAAACAACAUUAACUAGUUACUUUGCGUCAUUGAAGGUAUGCACUUCCCCUCUAUGUUAGGAGUGAAUAAAAUUAAAAAUAGAUCCUUAUAACAAAGAAAGGCAGAUAGAAUGAUUAAAAAUGACCAAAACAUGUUAGAAACAGUCUCUCAGGUGUAUGCAGAUGGUAAUUACAAAAAUACUUUUUCAAAAAAUGAUCUUCUGUGUCAUGUUUCUGGGAACAAGUCAAGAUGAAUGAGUUUGAUUUUUAAGCAGAAGUAGUAUGUGUUGGUGUCAUCCAUGAAUACAACAAUGAAAAAGGCUCAAAGUUGUUGUUAUUCAGAAACUUCUCUAAGUAAUGGUGGUAAGUACAGGAAAAGGAGCAAUGUCUACCAUUUUCUUUCUAACCUUCGAUUUAACUAUUGUAAUGUUGUAAGCUUAACAGAGACUUACACUUAGGCUUAAUUUCAAGCUCUUCAAUCAUUUUUCCCGGUUGGUGAUUCAGGUGUAUUCUCAUGUCUUAUGUAAACUUAUCAUGAGUGUUGUUGAUUUAUAAUAUAUUUCUUUAUGUAAGCCAUAGCCUUGUCAGUUUGAGUUAUAUGGAAGACAAAUUGUAGGGAAAAAGAGCAACAGAUUACUCAGAAACCUUCUGUGUGAGCUGGGCAUAGUAGUGCAUGCCAGUAGGCUUAGCUACUUGGGAGGCUGAGGCAGGAGGAUCACUUGAUCCCAUUAGUUUGAGGCUGCAGUGAGCUAUGAUUGUGUCACUGUACUCCAAUCUGGACAACAGUGAGACUAUGUCUGUUUUUAAAAAAGAAAGAAAGCUUGUGUUUGAGAAGUGAUACCUCUAGAAUACAGUGAUUUCUAUAAUUUGUCAUGUGUUUGGGUAGUUUGAAGUUUUUCUAUCCUUGUAUCUAAUGGACAUCUGACCAUAAAGAUGAAAAAAUCCUGCACUCAUUAUAAAUUUUAUUUAUAAAAUUGAUAUUUGAGGAGUUGGGGAGGCCAGCUUCUGAAAAAAUAACAGUGUCCCAUAGAAACACCACAACUUAGGAAAAUAUUGUUAAAGUGGAAUUAGGAAUAUCUAGAGGAGGUAAAGCUUUUCAUCUCUCAAAAAAGAAUUAGGGCCAGGCACAGUGGCUGACACCUGUAAUCCUAGCACUUUGGGAGGCCGAGAUGGGCACAUCACUUGGGGCCAGGAGUUCAAGACCAGCCUGGCCAACAUGGCGAAACCCCAUCUCCAAGAAAUAGAAAAGUUAGCCAGGUGUGGUGGCGUGCGCCUGUAAUACCAGCUACUAGGGUGGCUGAGGCAGGAGAAUCGCUUGAACUGGGGAGGUGGAGGUGGCAGUGAGCAGAGAUUGAGCCACUGUACUCCAGCCUGGGCAACAGCAAGACCCUAUCUCAAAAAAAUAAUAAAGAGAAUUAGGACAUGGAUUUGUAUUAAAAUUAUAGGUAGCUCAUUUAAGAGUAUGAAGCCAAUUGCUGUUAGAGCAAGGGUUUUUUUCAGUAGAGGUGUCAGGAUAACCUAUACAGCUCUAAAAGUAUAUGGCUGUUACCUUCCCAUCCCUGUUGAAAUCUCCAGGGUUAGAACCAAGUAUUGUGUUUUUAAAACUAUAGGUGAGUCUACAAGAGUUGGGUGGAGUAGUCCUCUACAUCCUGUGUUUGUAUUUUUGCAGUAAGUCACACAAUAACAAAAGCUUUGAGAAAGAUUUUAGGUUUAUUGCUAAUUAUACCCAUGAAUGAAUUCUGAAAAUGUGUAGAUAAGGAAUUUACCUGGUGAACGGUUUACACAUGGCAAUUGUGGGAGGGAGAGGGGAGUGAGAGGAGAUGAGAUCAGUUUUAGCUUUAAGAGGACCAACCGGGCCAAGCACGGUGGCUCACGCCUGUAAUCCCAGCACUUUGGGGCCGAGGUGGGUGGAUCACGAGGUCAGCAGUUCAAGACCAGCCUGACCAACAUGGUGAAACCCCGUCUCUACUAAACAUACAAAAAAUUAACUGAGUGUGGUGGCGGGUGCCUGUAAUCCCAGCGACUUGGGAGGCUGAGGCAGGAGAAUCGCUUGAAACUGGAAGGCGGAGGUUGCAGUGAUCCGAGAUUGUGCUAAUGCACUCUAGCCCGGGCAAUAACAGCAAAACUCCCGUUUAAAAAAAAAAAAAAAAAAGGGACCAACCAUGAUAUCCUGACUAACCUGUAUAUUUCUUAGAAUGAGGGUUUAGCCUAAUAUUAAGAAAGUCUAAUGUUAAGAGACACCUAGUAAGAGCUCAACGCUGUGGUAAAAUUAUGAUAGUUAUGCAGAAACUUAAAAGCUGAAGUAUCCAGAGACAAUAUAUUGUUUAGAAUUUUCUGAAAAUAAAAAUUUUCUUGCCCUAAGUCUUGAAUUUUUAAGUUAUUGAUGUUAAUAUUUAUGAUCUUUGAACAAAUGAUAUUAUAAUAGAGUAUCUUUUAGGUCACAGAGACCCCUUUUUAGAGCUGAGAAAUCUUACAAAUUCCUCAGCCCAUGUUUUACAGAUAAGGAAAUGGGCAUGCACACAGUGAAAUUAAAAAUUGCUAGUGGUCACACUGUACAUUGAUGGCAAAGGCAGGGCAGAAUUAGAAUCCAAUUAUCUUACCUGUUCAGUGUCUUUAAUGAUACAGCAAGCUCACCACUGUUUCUCUUUACUCUUUAAACAGUGGAUUUUUUUUGUCAUGAUUUUGAUUUCUUGUAUAAUGCAGUUCAAUACUUGUUUAAUUUUAAUGUUGGACUCUCAAUUUUUAAGACAGUAGUACACAUGAAAUGUGCUUUAUAUUUUAUGUUUCAACAAGAAAAUACACAUUUUCCUUUUAAUAGAGGAGCUUAAGUUCCUAAUUUAAAUAAUUGAGUAUGAGCUUCAGAUACUUCAGAGUGGUAUUAAUAAACUUUGCUUUUCCAAAUGGUUUCAGAUAAGCAUUUAAUAUUCAAAGCUUCCU
RNAcentral lists this long non-coding RNA (3181 nucleotides) under Homo sapiens (human). RNAcentral describes it as "non-protein coding RAB30-AS1:32". Lineage: Eukaryota; Metazoa; Chordata; Mammalia; Primates; Hominidae. The record is from RNAcentral.